UACGGAGGGUGCGAGCGUUGUCCGGAAUCACUGGGCGUAAAGGGCGCGUAGGUGGCGCGGGAAGUCAACGGUGAAAGUUCGGGGCUCAACCCUGAAUCGGCCGUCGAUACUCCCGGGCUCGAGCACUGUAGAGGCAGAUGGAAUUCCGGGUGUAGCGGUGGAAUGCGUAGAGAUCCGGAAGAACACCGGUGGCGAAGGCGGUCUGCUGGGGUGAGGCUGACGCUGAGGCGCGACAGCGUGGGGAGCAAACAGG
RNAcentral lists this ribosomal RNA (253 nucleotides) under uncultured bacterium. Its description in RNAcentral is "partial 16S ribosomal RNA". It matches the Rfam family "Bacterial small subunit ribosomal RNA", at positions 524 to 776 of the family's 1533-position model. The record is from RNAcentral.